Long non-coding RNA from Myotis myotis, 510 nucleotides. RefSeq lists it as uncharacterized. The record is from RefSeq and is a predicted model, not a curated record. The transcript is spliced from 3 exons. Lineage: Eukaryota; Metazoa; Chordata; Mammalia; Chiroptera; Vespertilionidae.
CGUGGCGCUUGGAGCUGCAGGCGCCCUGUGUGACAUGUGCUCACCAGGAUGAGGACAAGUCCGCGUGUGAAACACGGCAGAGUGGGAAAGCAGAAUGAGUCCAGAUGCGCAAUGACGCUGGACAACGGCUGCUGUUCAAAUCCUGCCCAGAUGUAAGGGUUCCUUCCCACGUUCUUCCCCCGCAUCUGGGGAGUCCGCGUCUUUAAGGAAACCCCACGCUCACCACGGCGGUGAAGCUGCUCGGAGAAGGUCGCCAAGGGCCUCGUCAUCGUCAUCGGUUCUCCACCUGCAAGACUGUGGAGACUCCCACGGCCACGGCGACCCCACACCCACGUCACCAGCGCAGCUCUCUCCUCAGCACCCGUGAACAGGAUGUGUCCCCUGCAUGUCCCCACAGGACCAUCAGCGCUGUCCCCCGCAAACCCCUUCUCUGUGAGCCUCCUCACCACUCACAGGAGCCUCAGCCGGGAGCCUCAGAGCCACUGCUCCCAACCACCCUCUCCCCCAAAC